This 235-nucleotide ribosomal RNA is filed under the name uncultured Candidatus Saccharibacteria bacterium. Its description in RNAcentral is "partial 16S ribosomal RNA". It matches the Rfam family "Bacterial small subunit ribosomal RNA", at positions 585 to 818 of the family's 1533-position model. Lineage: Bacteria; Candidatus Saccharimonadota. The record is from RNAcentral.
AAGUGGAUAGUGAAACCUGGUGGCUCAACCAUACAGACUAUUAUCCAAACUGUUAAGCUCGAGAAUGGUAGAGGUGGCUGGAAUUUCUAGUGUAGGAGUGAAAUCCGUAGAUAUUAGAAGGAACACCAAUGGCGUAGGCAGGCCACUGGACCAUUUCCGACGCUAAGGCACGAAAGCGUGGGGAGCGAACCGGAUUAGAUACCCGGGUAGUCCACGCCGUAAACGAUGGAUGCUA